This 338-nucleotide ribosomal RNA is filed under the name uncultured bacterium. RNAcentral describes it as "bacterial SSU rRNA". It matches the Rfam family "Bacterial small subunit ribosomal RNA", at positions 1 to 334 of the family's 1533-position model. The record is from RNAcentral.
CUACGUAGCUCAGAGUUUGAUCCUGGCUCAGGACGAACGCUGGCGGCGUGCUUAACACAUGCAAGUCGAGCGAUGAAAUUCUCUUCGGGGAAUGGAUUAGCGGCGGACGGGUGAGUAACACGUGGGUAACCUGCCUCAAAGAGGGGGAUAGCCUUCCGAAAGGAAGAUUAAUACCGCAUAAUAUCUUUUAUUGCAUGAUAAAAGAUUAAAGGAGCAAUCCGCUUUGAGAUGGACCCGCGGCGCAUUAGCUAGUUGGUGAGGUAACGGCUCACCAAGGCGACGAUGCGUAGCCGACCUGAGAGGGUGAUCGGCCACAUUGGGACUGAGACACGGCCCAG